AAGACCCGGCAGGCGGGUAACCUGCUACUUGGGAUUUGCAAGCCCACGUGUGGAACACCUCAGAGCU
RNAcentral lists this transfer RNA (67 nucleotides) under Acanthogobius hasta (javeline goby). RNAcentral's name for it is "tRNA-Cys". The record is from RNAcentral. Lineage: Eukaryota; Metazoa; Chordata; Actinopteri; Gobiiformes; Gobiidae.